RNAcentral lists this ribosomal RNA (404 nucleotides) under uncultured prokaryote. RNAcentral describes it as "bacterial SSU rRNA". It matches the Rfam family "Bacterial small subunit ribosomal RNA", at positions 355 to 774 of the family's 1533-position model. The record is from RNAcentral.
UGAGGAAUCUUCCACAAUGGGCGAAAGCCUGAUGGAGCAACGCCGCGUGCAGGAUGAAGGCCUUCGGGUUGUAAACUGCUUUUAUAAGUGAAGAAUAUGACGGUAACUUAUGAAUAAGCACCGGCUAACUACGUGCCAGCAGCCGCGGUCAUACGUAGGGUGCAAGCAUUAUCCGGAGUGACUGGGCGUAAAGAGUUGCGUAGGUGGUUAGUAAAGUGAAUAGUGAAAUCUGGCGGCUCAACCGUACAGACUAUUAUUCAAACUCACUAACUCGAGAAUGGUAGAGGUAACUGGAAUUUCUUGUGUAGGAGUGAAAUCCGUAGAUAUAAGAAGGAACACCAAUGGCGUAGGCAGGUUACUGGACCAUUUCUGACACUGAGGCACGAAAGCGUGGGGAGCGAACC